RNAcentral lists this long non-coding RNA (40653 nucleotides) under Theobroma cacao (cacao). RNAcentral describes it as "long non-coding RNA (TCAC_LNC000668)". Lineage: Eukaryota; Viridiplantae; Streptophyta; Magnoliopsida; Malvales; Malvaceae. The record is from RNAcentral.
UAGCAAAACAAGGUUGCGGCAAGAUACAAUAAUUCCCCCUGGAACAAUAUCAGGUCUCUCUGAAUUAACUGAAUUAAGCAUUGAUGUUGAUCCAGAUGAUGAACGCUGGAAUGCUACUGUGAAAGCAAUUAUUGAGGAAGCUUGCGACCUGAAAACUUUAUUACAGCUUAAUUUGUACCUGCCAAACAUCGAAAUAUUGUGGAAACGAAGAACAGGUAGCACAUCAUUGCUCCAUUACCCCUUGCCACGUGUCAGAUUUACUGUUGGUUAUCACAAACAGCAGGUCAUAUCUCGAGUACCAGAAGAAGUAGAAGCUUACUUCAAUAAGGGCGACAAAUGCUUGAAGUUUGUCAAAGGCAAGGAUAUCCCAGCUGAAAUGAGAAUGGCAGUCAACCACAGCACAGCAUUUUUCCUGGAAGGUCAUGCUACAGCUAGGAGUUUGUCGGAUUUUGGAAUUGAAAAUACCAGGCAGCUAAAAUUUUGCUUAUUGACUGAAUGUAAUGAAGUCCAAACCAUCAUUGAUUGUGCAGAGUUUCCUGAAGAGCAGACUGAUGCACUUGGAAACCUACAAGACUUGACUAUAUAUUACCUGAAGAAUUUAGUGAGCAUUUGGAGGGGGCCUGUUCAUAAGCACUGCCUAGCUAGCCUGAAGUUCCUUGCACUUCAUAAAUGCCCCAAAUUGAGUAUCAUUUUCUCGCCAGAUUUGGUUGCUAAUCUUGCCAAUUUAGAAGAGCUCAUUGUUGAACACUGCCCUCAACUGACCAGUCUUGUGAGCCUAAUAGGUCAUGCAUCCAGCAACUCAGCACCACAACCAAAUUGCUUUCUUCCAAGCUUGAAAAGAAUAUCACUGCUUUACGUGCCAAAUCUUGUUAGCAUUUCUAGUGGCUUGUGCAUUGCUCCAGAGCUGGAAAAAGUAGGCUUUUACAAUUGCCCGAAGCUUAAGAGUCUUUCUGCGAUGGAAAUUUCAAGUGAAAAUUUGAAGAUGAUCAAAGGAGAAAGUCGCUGGUGGGAAGCAUUGGAGUGGAAGAACUCAGAGUGGGGGAACCGGCUGGAUUAUCUGCAUAGUAUCUUUUCCCCACUUAUUAAGGAGAGAGAUGUGAAGGCGCAAUUGGCCGAGGAGGGAAUUAUGCACCAAGCUUCAACUUAAACAAGGAGAGAGAUGUGAGGGCGCUGGGCAACAGCCAGGUAAUUUCUUUUAAAUUAAGAAGGUGUCCUUUUAUUUGUCAUCCAAGUAGUACAAGUAAAUAAGCAGAUAAUGGGCUUAAUAAUGGAGGAUGAGCAAUUCACGAAAGGCUAAUAUCUGACUCCCCUAACCCCACACCUCCCCACAACCCACCACCCCCCCCCCCCCCCCCCACAAAAAAAAAAAAAAAAANAAAAAAAAAAAAAGAAAAAAAAGAAUCAACAAAAACAGUAAUAAGAACCACUGGGCACUUCUGUUCUUUUGUUUUUUGUCAGAUUUCUCUAUGUUCUUCAGACUAUACUUCUCAUGAUUUAAGUGAUUAGUCUUGGACAAAACUGUAUUUCCAGGAGUCCAAGAGCUAAAUGUGGAACCAUGACAGUUUACAUUGGUGGCUCGGAUUUUGAAUAAAUUGAAGGUCAAAACCUCACACCAACAUGGAUGAUAGUUUAUUUUGUCUGAGUAGGCAGCUGCAGGCGUAGCUUGCCGAUAGUGUAUGCACCUUUUGUUUUUUCCUGAUAUUAAACCUUUUAUUGGAUUUCUGAGAGAUACAUUUCUAACAUGUAUAUCAUCACGUUAAGGGUUCAAUGCCAGAACAUUGGCGGGUAUUUCAAGAAUUAGUUGUUUGCUAUAAUCCCUGUCAAGUUUUAUUCUGAUUAUGUUGAAAUUGUGAUAAAGAGCUUUUGCAUCAUUUUUUGUCCUCUUGCAAUCUCUGUUCUUUGAAUGAAAAAAACUGAAACUCUGUGAGGAUUUUGAACCAAUUGCUUUAUAAAAUUUCAAGCAUAUUGACGUAUCCUCGAAGCAACCUAGAGUUAAAGCAGCAAAUAAAAAUUUGUUUGGGACCUAGAGUUAAGGCAGUGCAAAUUUUAGGCUUAUGUCCAAAGUUUUUCUUUGUGCUAUAGUAAAAGGUAACUAGUAUGAGGAAUCUACAACAUCAUUCAAACCAAAGCAGUGCAAAUCUUUUGUUGUUCUUAAUUAUUCUCAUUACAGCAAUGCAAACUUGAAUAACCAAAGAAACAUUCACCUGAGGCAACAGAAGGAUUGAAGGUGGUCUCUAACCUCACUGUCUCUCCACUGUAGUGCUUCCCACCGUAUUCGUUCUCCUUCUAUUAAUUUUAGCUCUGUUGCAUUGUGUUCACGGAAGGGUAGUGAUUUCACCUCGGGACAUCCAAAUAUCUUAAGCACCUUUAAAUGGGGCCACGCCGAUGACUCAUCCGCAGAUAUAAUUCUUAAUUUCGGCAUGUCAACCAGUUCCAAAGUCUCUAGAUUUGGAAGCUCAGUCAACUUUUCUAUCUCGAAGCAGCUUUCCAUCACCAAUUUUUUGAGUUUUGAGAGCUGUUGAAUCUCCCCGUUGGAAAAUAUCUUUGUCAACAUUGGACAACUCUUUACUACAAUAGUAUGUAGUUUUGACAAGCUUUUUCCUGAAGUGGGGCCUUAGAAAAUACUCUUCAGAAGGAGCAAAUUCCUUAAAUGUAACUGUUCCAAGAUCGUUAGAAUGUCCAUUUCUCCUUCCUUUUCGGCAUCUAUAAUGCUUGUGAUUUUAUUGCAUCGCUCAAUCAGACAACCCCGAACAUGGUUCUGGCUGGCAGCAUUCAUGAAGUCUGAUAGACAUUUGAUGUUGUUGUGACCGAUCAAUUCCAAUGCAUCAGUUUUAGGAAGGACAUCACGAACUGUAGAAUCAUCAUUGCCAGGAUAGCAGUAUCUCAUAUAUCUAUUUACCUUGUAUUCCAAACAAUCAAGAAUCAGAGGGUUGUUGUUUCUUUCACAGCCAACAAAAAACCAAAAUGAGGUUAAUUGUUCGCGAUCCCUCCAUGAUGGCCUGUUUUUAAUUAACAUUUUGAGGAUCUCUGGUCGUGGAAAGCUUACUCUAACAGUAGUUAAAUUCUUCAAGAAAGCCACCUCCUGAACGACUCUUUUUGCAACAUCAAUGCACCAAUGGCCAUAGGAGGUCACAUCAAUCAUCAGUUCCUCCAAUCUUAGAAGUCUUGAAAUCACCUUGUAAUCAAUUUCCAUAUCAGGAUAGUCUUCUGUAUUGCUGCAUUUAUGGUAUGACAUCCGCAAGCACCUCAGGUAAACUAAUUUUCCAAUAACAGGAGGUAUGAAUAUUAUCUUGCAGCCUCUAAUGUCAAGCACCUCAAGAAAACGAAGUUCUGCAACUUGGGGAGGCAACUUUGUUACGUUGGGGCAAUCAUUUAAGAAAAGUGCCUUAAGUCUAAUCAACUUUGAUACAGACGACGGUAGUGAUGCAAUUCCUGUUUGGUACAAGUCCAAAACAAGGAGCUUCUGCAUGUUCUUAAAAAAUGAUGGUGGAAUUGUGACCAAAUCGGGGUUUUUUUGUAGUAAUAGAGACAAAAGUUUGUUGCAGUUUGGACUUUCUGGCAAGUCAUGCAGUUUUCCUUUAAUCAUAGAGAUCUUUUUUGCCUGUUGCCAAUCUUUCAGCCUGUGGGUAUAAGGUUAAGCUUCACCUUUUGGAGCAAAAAAUUUGCAAUCAGGGUCUUGUGAGGAAAUGUAAAAGGCAAAUUGUCUGACACUAUUGUUCACUUGAACAUAAAUCAUUCUUUCACCUUUCUCUCGCAAUGACACAUUGCCACAUUGGUUAGAUGUCCCAAUAUGUCAUAUCCUUUAUCUCUUGCAUCCCGAAGACUCCUCCCGUCAUCAAUAUUGCCAAGAAGUCCUUCAGCCGCCCAACACUCCAGUAAAUAAUCUGUAUAUAUCUUGCUAUCAGCUGGAUAUAAUGCACCAUACAGAAAGCAUUUCUUUUUCUUCUCAUCCUUCAGCUCGUCAUAACAAAACUUGAGUGCUGCAUACAUUUUUGUUAAACCUGGGAUCUCAAUUUUUGGCCAUUUUUCAAGUUCGCUCAAUCCAUUUCUCCAUUCAGAAUCACUGUCCUUUAAUUUGAAGGAACUUGCCACUGUUCUGAUCACAAGUGGGAGUCGAUCACACUCAUCAACUACCAGCCGAGCAACUGGUUCAACAUCAGGGAGAUCGAUUUUCUCAACUGCUAUCUGUUGAAACAUUCUCCAUGCCUCAUCUGAAGAUAAUUUAUCCAUUUUGACCAUUCUAUCUGUCAUUGGCGAACAAACAUGACGAAAUUCAGUAGUCAAUACCACUUUGCUACCAUUACCAUAUCUGAGAUUCCAAUCUGCUGCAAAUCAAUGGAGUCCAUGACCUCAUUCAGAAGCAGCAAAUACUUCUUAUGCUUCAUAUAUUCUGAUAUGAUCCUCGCAAGUUCACCAGAGCACGUAGCACGUUCCGCCUUCAGUUUAAGUCGCUGUGCAAUGUUCAGUUGCAGUUUCUCAUCAUUCCUCUCCCUUGAAACAUUUAUCCAAAUGACUACAUCAAACAUUUUGGCAACUUCUUCAUGGUUAUUCAAGUUCUUCAGUAUUGUUGUUUUCCCAACUCCCUCUGUGCCAAAAAUUUCGAUUUCUUUUAGUUUAUCGCUUCUUAGCAACUCUAGUAUUUCUUGUAAUGAUCUUUGAAGGGUGGCAAAUCCUUCAAGGUCUGGUGCAUUCAACUUCACAGUUUUUUCUGGAGGCUUCUCUACCAAAAAUCCUCUUUUAAAUGCUCCCUCUUUCACAAGUUUCUCAACUUUCUUGCACAUAGUAAUGACCUUGUCACUAUAAUUUUUUUUUUUAAGAUUAAAAGUAUUUCCAUUAAAUCAGGGUGAAAUCCCCGAUGUACACAAAAUGGAAAGGACUAGGAGAGACUUGGUCCAGGUGCCCUUCCUGAAGCUUGGCAUACAAAAAAGCCAGCUGAAAACAAAAUGCUAUACAACUACAAAAUUUGAUAUAAGCAAGACUCAAAGAAGUUACAGCCACCCUUAACAGCCAAAAAGGGCGAAGGGAGAGCAAGAGUGAGAAACAUGGCCAUUUUGGAUGUUUCUCCCUCUUGCAAAUCCAUACUCAAGCAAAACAACCCAAAAAGCUAUUGGCCUUAUUAUGCAAAAAGUGAUCUGCACCAGCAACAUAGCAGUAAACACAGUCAAAAGCAUGCCCAAUCACUCAAGCAGUUAUGGAAACACACAUAGCAGAUCAUGUCACUAUAAUCUGACAGCCACAUAGAAAGUGAGGACCCUUCCGUUUCAUACUCAGCUUGUAAAUUUUCCACUUUCUUUUAGAGUCUUCACAACUUCAGUAGGCCACGUGUUGUAGCUUAUGGAAGUUGUUUUUGUUCCGUAUUGUUCCACUGUCCUCUCAUUGUCGUUCCUUUUUGCCUUGAGCUUUGCUGCAGCAGUUUUCAACAUGCUGAUAUUAUCAUUAUGCUAUUCCAUGAACUACGCUUCCCCACAGCGUAGUCCAAAACUCCUUUUACCCCAUCUUUUACCAAAUCAUUUAGCAAUUCAGCCAUUAUAACUUCGACGCUGCAACUGGCAUUCAAAUUAAAAAAAAAUCAGAUUUUUUUGUAAUUGUAACCAAAUCAGAUGUCUGCUUAUAUUUAAACUGUUUGGAGGGAAAAAAUAUACAAGUCAGAUUCUGUAAUUUGUUCUUUUCUUAUUUUUUCGUAUUUGUUUAAUUGCUAGUCCAGUUAAAAUAAUGGAUACCAACUGUUUGAAGAAAGUUCUGCAGAUAAUGGGUCUGUCUAUUCUCUUAUUUUUUUUUAUCUUUGUAACAAGAUGUUGUUUCCUUUUCUUUUGGAUAAAUAAAACUUUUACUUAGAAAAAAAAAAAUCAAGUGCAAGCUCAACACCAGCAAUUGUUAAACUCCAAAUAAGCUGAUCAUCUCACCAUAACUUGCCAAUCUACCUUUCUCAAUGCACUAAGACGUUGUGAAGACAUCAAUCCCACUAAGGUAAAUAAUAGUUAAAAUCUCAUUUAUUUUCUGAAAAAGAAAAUAAACACUUCUGUUUAUUUAAAAUUUUUUUUUUAUUAAUUCUCAACUUAGAUGUGUCUAAUAAUUAACUUAAUAGGAUUUUAUAUAACUAUUCGUAAGGAAGAGAGCUUUUUACUUUUUUUAUGUAAGAUUAUUAUAUUUUUUAAAUAAAUUAAAUAAGAAAGUAAUUUAAUUUAAACUUAUUUAUAAUACAAAUAAAGUAAAAGAUAAUUAAAAAAAGAUAAUAAUAGAAAUAAUCUUUCAUAACUUAACACGCAAGUAACUUAAUAUCAUAGUUAUAUGUUUAGUAUAUUUAGUUGAAUGUUACAGUAAAAUAGUUGAAUGAAAUAUUCAAUUCAAUCUUUGUAUAUUUAGUAGCAAAAAUACUUUCUUUUUAGGAAUCAAUUUCUGUAGUUUCAUGUUUUAUGGAAUUUUGCCAUUUCAUUUCCUUUUGCUUUUUGCCUCAAAUUAUGUCAAAAUCAAAGAGGACAAAAUUUUGAUUUGGAGAGAGUCGAGGAUUAUAUCUGGUUGGAAUUUACAUCAAUUUGAUAGUUUGGGGGCGAGCUUGCUUAUACCUGUACGACUAGGAAAAGCAUCAAUAGCACCUGUUAAAAACUAAAAUCAAACACAAAGUCCAACAAUAUGUCCUUGGCUAAAAAAAUAUUGAGGAAUCUCCAAAUCCAACAGCUGUUAACACUACGAAGCUACAACAUCCACUCAAACUAAAGCAGUUAAAAUCUUAUGUUGUUCUUAAUUGUUAUCAUUACAACAGUGCAAACUAGAAUAACCAGAAGAAACAUUCACCUGAGGCUGCAGAAGGAUUGAAGGUGGGUUUCUAACCUCACUGUCUUGCCACUACAAUGCUUCCCACCAUAUUUGUUCUCCUUCUAUUAAUUUUAGCUCUGUUGCAUUGUUUUUACUGAAAGGUAGUGAUUUCACCUUGGGACAUCCAAAUAUCUUAAGCACCUUUAACUGGGGCCAUGCCAAUCACUCAUCCGCAGAUAUAGUUCUUAAUUUCGGCAUGUCAACCAGUUCCAAAAUCUCUAGACUUGGAAGCUCAAUCAACUUUUCUAUCUAGAAGCAACUUUCCAUUACCAAUUUUUUGAGUUUUGAGAGCUGUUGAAUCACCCCAUUGGAAAAUAGCUUUGUCAACAUUGGACAAUACUUCACUACAAUAGGAUGUAGUUUUGACAAGCUUUUUCCUGAAAUGGGGCCUUCGAAAAUACUAUUCAGAAGGAGCAAAUUCCUUAAAUGUAACUGUUCCAAGAUCGGUAGAAUGUCUAUUUCUCCUUCCCUUUCGGCAUCUAUAAUACUUGUGAUUUUAUCGCAUCUCUCAAUCAGACAACUGCGAACAUGGUUCAGGCUGGCAACAUUCAUGAAGUCUGAUAGACAUUUGAUGUUGUUGUGACCGAUCAAUUCCAAUGCAUCAGUUUUAGGAAGGACAUCAUGAACUGUAGAAUCAUCAUUGCCAGUAUAGCAGUAUCGCAUAUAUCUAUUUACCUUGUAUUCCAAACAGUCAAGAAUCAGAGGGUUGUUUUCGCUUUCACAGCCAACAAAAAACCAAAAUGAGGUUAAUUGUUCGUGAUCCCUCCAUGAUGGCCUGUUUUAAUUUCUGAAGUGAUCAGGCUAAGAUUUUGCAGCCAAAAUACUCCUGUUUCUUUUUAGAAAAAUUGAUUGAUUUCUUUAUGUAAUGGUUCUGUCUAUUCUCCUAUUUUUGUAUCUUUGUAACAGGAUUUUUUCCUUUUCUUUUGGAUAAAUAACACUUUUUACUUCAAAAAAAAAAAAAAAAAAACAGCUGCGUGCUGAACACCGGGAAUUGUUAAACUCCAAAUAAGCUGAUCAUCUCAUCAUAACUUGCCAAUCUACCUUUCUCAAUGCACCAUUCAAUGCUAACUACAUUAUCUAGAGGAGGGUUCAAAGCUUCAUGCAUAAACCCGAAAUCUUACCAAGAAAAGGGAAGUAGAAAUGGCUCUCCAGAUUCAUUCCAACCCUCACAAUCCAAUUAUAUUUGUUCCAACAUUUGAAAACACAUAUAUCAAAUUUUUAACCUUUUAUUUGCUGUCGACUUCAAGUCAUGAAAAGAGCUUCAUGCAACAAUCUGUGGGCCUAUACUCUUAUGUGUUUUUUGUGUCUUGUUUCUGGUGGGGUGUUGUGCUGGUUGUAAAAGGGUCUGUUAUGAACUGGGUCUUUGGGGAGCUCUGCUUGUAUCUGGGCAGGGGAGAAACAGGGUUAUUUUUCUGUUUCAAGAUUCUGAGUAUACAGGGUGUGGAUGUUGUAAGGAAGAAAUAUCUGUUGUGUUCCUUGGGUUGCUGUGAGCAGACAAGGAGAAGAGGGACUCCCCUCAUCUAGAGGGGAGGUUCUUCCCUUGACUCUUUUUGUAAUUAAUAAAAUUCAAUGGGUUUACUUGAGAGUUUCAAACUAGUUGAACGAAAGAAGAAAAAUCUAGCUAAGGUUCAAAGAUCAAAACACAAUCAAUCAACUUUGAUUGAAACGACAAAUACAUAAACUACUUGGUCUUGUACUGUCCCGAAGCAUUCUCAAAAGCAGCCGACAAAGAUCUAUGUUUCAAACUAUAUUUUGAUGAAUUGUGUAAUCUACUAACAGAAAACUUACAUAUGUCUACUCGCAGAUGAUGGACCGUUGACUCAGGAGAUGCAAGAGAUUUUUUGGCUCUAAUCUGGAAUGCCCAUACACCACUUGAAUCUCAUGACUCACUUUUCAUGUCUUUGUAAAUAGAUAGAUUAUUAUCUUUGCUAUAUAUAAUGAAAGAACUUGUUAUUACAUAUUCUUAAAUGUUAUCUUGUGAUCAACAAUUGUAUGCCAUGAAAUUGAAAAUGACACUACUGUCCAAAAUGAUGUAGCCAAAGUCUGGCUCUAAAAUGUCAUUUGUGAUUUGCCUUGGCAAGUGUAUUUUUUUUUAAAAAGAGAGAAUUUAAAUUCUACUUUUGUUUCUUCGAUGAUUAAAAUAUUGGGUAGAAAACCGUGAAUGAUUAAAGUAUGGACAAGUGACAAUGGCGUGCGGACAAAAGUUUGGUUUUCCCUAGUUCAAAGAACAUAUGGGCGCGUAUGCAACUUGCUCUUCAUUGUUUAAUUUGACUAAAUUCAUGGAGCAGAUCUUGGGAGUGAGCGGGCGGCUCUCGCUUCUUCUCACAUGAAGUUUGAAAGCUUUUAACAAGCCUACCGGAGUGUGGAGAGUCCAUGGCAGAUAGGCUAUGAAUGAGAUGGGAAUUAACCAUGGGGGGUUGAUGCUCAGCAUUUAACAGGUUGGUACCCGAAUCCCCUACAUAUGCAAGCCAGAUUGGUCCUUUUUGUUGGAUGAAUCAUCCUCCCAGGGAUUAGAUUUUUAUAUUUGAGACGUAAUUUUUAUGCAAAGAAGACUAAUAAGAUUUAAUUACACAGGUGGAGCACUUGAUUUCCCUAGUUUUACUACAUUUGGAAGCUCUCGUCCUCCAUUCAUUGAUUACUAGUGAAUUGUUAACCGGCAUUAGGGAAGUAAAAACCAUCUGCCGAACUCAUAUCAAGGUAUAGCUGGACACAGUAAGAGUACCAUUUCAAGUUUAACUGAGCCUGGAAAUUGUUAACUCUGAGCGUUCAACUAUAAAUUGGAUACGACAAACUUGUCCUGCUAAUUCUUUCAUUUUCCAACCCUUACGGACUUUUUAUUUUAAUUUGAUAACUUAUUCUCGAUUCCUGGUGCAAAUUACUACAUGCUUUCAGCUUCGAGUUCACUAAUUUUCUAUUCUUAGAUGCCAAUGUCCUGCUACUUUUUGGCUUGUAUUCAAUCACACUUGCUGGACGAAACAUUAUCUCCUAUUGUCGAGAUUUUAUGGUAGUACAUCUAAUUCUUUCUUUCUUUUUUUCCAAUAGAGACAUGGAGAGCUGGGAACGUAAGAAUGUUAGAAAUGAACUAAGACAAGGGAGGAAGCUAGCAAAGCAGCUCCAAGCAAAUCUCAAACGGUCAUCUUCCGAAGAAAAUCCUGAGUUAGUCCAAAAGAUCGUAUCGUCCUUUGAAAAGGCACUUUCAAUGCUUAACUGCAGCACCUCCUCUAUGGCAGCCAAGCUGCAGCCCAUAGCUCACAGCUCGCUUGCUCGUGAUGGAAGUCACCAGAGUAAGGACCCUGACCAUGAUAUCAAGGAGCAAGACUUCAAAGUUAAAGAUUUCUUCAUGAAAAGGUACAUGUAGACAUAUGGGAAAUUUAUGAUGACAUAAAAUGGAAACCUAAACCAAUUUAUGCUUAAUUGCAGAGAAGUAACUGAGUCACAGCCUAAAGGACUUGCAACUGAAAUGUUUAAAUUCCCGCCUCCUUUCAGUGGAAGCUUCUCAAGUGCGGGAAAUUUGGAAGCCUUUGACGGGUAUGUAUCCUCUCCUUUUUAUGAAAGCUUCCUCGAUACGGACUCUGACAAUGGAUUCAAGGAGCAGGGGUUCAAAGUCAACUACGAUGUCAAUAAAAGCUAUUUUCUCUGUCUCUUUUUUUUAUCUAAUUUUUCAAAUGUUAUAUAAUAUUAUUUAUAUUCUUAAUUUAUUUUUCGUAAUUUUUUUAUUUUUUAUAUUAAAAAAUAUUAAAUAUUUAUUUUAUAAUUUUUUAAAAUUUAAUAUAAAAUAUUUGAAAAUCAAAACUUUAAUUUUAAUUUUCAUGAAAAGAGUACUUGGAAAGAGUACUUAAGAUGAUCUAUAAAGGGGAAAACUAAACCAAUUUAUGCUUGAGUGCAGUAAGGCAGCCGAAUUAAAGCCAACAAUAAUUGGGACCGAAUUUGACCAUGAUUUCAUGGAGGAGCAUGAGCUCAAAGUCAAUGAAACCUUCAAUAAAAGGUAUACUAUAUAUAUAUAUUUCUGGGUAAUUUGUGAUGAUAAUUAAAGGGAAAUCUGAACCAAUAAUUUAUGGUCAAUGAAAUAGUUGCAGUGUGAAAGAUGAGUCAAAGCCUGCAGGACAUGCAAAAGUAAUGUUUAAGUCCUUGUCUGACUAUAACUUGGAGAAGAAAAAGCACACCGUCGGCGAUGCUUCCAAGAAAAGGUAUGUAUAACAGGAAUAUGGGCAAGUUAUGAUGAUAUAAAAGGGGAAACUAAACGGAUUUUCUGCUGAACUAUAGUGCUGCAGGUGAGUCACAACCCACAGAAGUUGAGUUUAAAAAGCCCAAAUCCUCGCAUUCUCUUGGCGAAAGCCUCCCAAGUAAGGACUCUGACUAUAAUUUCAAGGAGCAGGAGCUCAAAAUCAAUGAGGGCUCCGGCAAAAGGUAUAUAUAAGAGCAUAUGAGCAAUUUAUCAUAAUACAUUGCCAACUAAUCCAAAAAAUUAAAAAAAAGAAUUUACAUUGAAAAAAGAAGGCCUCAAUUAAUGUUAUAUCUUUAAUUGGUUUGAACAAAACAUUUCCAUGUUGCAGGAACGCUAGGCGGAGCUGGACAGUAUUGGUUCACUCUGAUAUGGUCCUAGGGGAACUUCCUUCUGAUGGUUGCAAUUGGAGGAAAUAUGGACAGAAGGAUAUUCUUAAUGCAAGAUUUCCAAGGUAGAGACAUUUUCCUCUUUUAGUGCAUAUUAUUAAAAACAAGAUGCAAUUGAUGCGUUAAUUAAGGCUCAGAUCGCUCCGUUUAGAUGUUAUUUUUUCUGCUUUUUUUUUUCUUGAUAAAGCCAUUAAGUGUCUGUUUAUUUAGGGUUAUAGGUUAAUCAGUUUAUUCUUUUUAGAGUUAAAGUUCACACUUUCCUUUUUUGGUAUAUGGAGAAGAUAUUUCUUCCUUCCUUAUCAUGUCUUUCUUGAAGCCAUUUUCGUAUAUCCCUUCAGAAUGCAUUGCUUUAGAGUGACACUUGAGACCUUCAGUAAAAAAAAAAAAAUUGCUGAAACAUUAUCACAUAGAAUCAAUGUAGGCCAAAAACCAACUCUAUGUGGACAGCUUAAACUGGACUUUUACUCCUCUGCAGUUCCAUUAUUAUCUGUUCCGAACAAAAGAUGUUUUAUCGGUAUGAGCAUUCUUGACUGCACGCUAGUGCAGGACCUUGGUGCCUAACCAAUGGCAUGAUUUAAUAUUUUUUUUUCUGGACUUAAUGUAGAAUAACUGUUCUAGACAAUUGUGGAUAUUUGAUAAUAACUCCCAUUUCCUAAAGAGCUAGCGUCCCAAAGACAUGCCAUGUACAUGUAUUUCAUAUAUCCUAUUUGUGAUGAAACAAAUUUAAAAAUUCACUGAGCUUUAAACUUGAAAUAACCUUUCUUUUCUUUCUUACAGAGAAUACUACAGGUGCGCACAUCGACACACUCAAGGCUGUUUUGCUACAAAGGAAGUCCAAAGAGAGGAUGAAGAUCCAAUGUUCAUCACUGCUACUUACAAAGGAAUGCACACUUGCACACUAGCCCCAGAUUUGAUGCCUCCAGGACCACCUGAGAUACUAGCUGUACAGAACCUACUCUUUAUCACGUUCCAUUUAGAUUAAGGUCUUUCUUAUAGAUAGAAUAAAUUAAUUUAGAUUCUGAUAUUCUAGUGAAAUAAGUACUUUUCAUGUAUAUUUGCAGCCUUUGGAUACUGUACUUGGCGCCGAUGGAAAUGACAAAAAGGAUUCACAAUCUAAUCUUCAGUCAAGUGUACACAGUCCUGACAAUCAAACUUGCAUUUCGUCAACCAAGCUAACAAGUGAGCUUCCAAAUUUAGGGCUCAACCUGAAUGUGUUUCCUGAGAAAUCAUUUAAGUCAUAUCCAACGUGGAAAAACUUUUAUGAAAAUGAAGUGAGGAAGAAUUGGAAAGUGCUGAACAGGAAGAAGGAUGUGCUACUCUUACUUUCAUCUUAUCCUAUGAUUAUGAUUGACAAAUCUGACACAGAUAAAUGGAUUAUUGAUGUAUUGGCAACCAUGAGACAUGUGAAAUCAACAGAAAAGAUUUUAUUUGGUGUAGGGGUAGCGAAACAUUGGCCAGGAAUGACUACGCUGCAGGAACUUUCUGGACGCUUGCAGAAGUUGCUGGAUGUUCCCUUGAUGAAUGAUAUUGAGGGAGUUUUACCGGUAGACUUGGUUGAGAACCUAUAUAGGACUACAGAAGCUGAUUUAAGACCCCUGUUGGAAGUGGAACAGAAUAUAAUUAGCGGAAAGACAUCAAAAUCUAGAGGUUCAGCAAGUAACAGUGAAGGGGCAGCAAUGGAAGCAGAAAAAGAAUUGCAGCCAAUGCCUGCAAAAUGUAAAACUCUGGUAGAAGAUACUGAGUUGCCAGCAAAAGGAACACUGAAUGUACCAGAAGAAAUAUUUGACUUGGCAAUUUAUUUAGCUGUUCGUCAGAUCUUAAAAUGUAUAAACAGGGGAUAUAUCUGGUGUAUUACUAUCAGUGGAAGAGAUAAGAAAAGGGUGCUAGGAGCAGUAAAGCAACACCAAGAUAUAGUUUCCGAGUUUGGAUAUAUCAUUGUAUUCACUGUGUCAGAAGAUCAAAGUGGGGCAAAUGUUCACGGUGUCUUUCAACUGCAGAAGGGUUUUUGGCUAGGUGGAUGCUUUGAUUCUGUUGACCUUACACAUGAAUAUUUUGACAACUUGUGCUCCCCAGGAAUCUUAUUGCUUACAGAGGAUGAUUACGAUAAGAACAUGAACUUGGAUCAGUCUACACUCCCACUUUUGAUAAACCUUAACAAGUUGGUUGACCAUAAACAUAGCGAUUCAAGGUUCAUAAUCUUUACUUCUAAAAUGGCAACAGACAUGGAGAUAAGAAUGGAGGAUCAUUUGUUGUCAUGGAAAUUGUUUUGUAGGAUUGUGGGUGAAGGUUUGCUUUCUCCUAGUAUCCAACAGAUAGCAGCAAGUUUGGUGAAAGAAUACCGUGGCAAUCUACUCGCCAUCAUUCUAACGGCCAGGUCCUUGGAGAAAGUUACUGAUGAUGUCAACUUGUGGGAACUUGCUGUUAAAAGAUUGACCAUGCUACCUCCAUCUCAAAUAGAAGAUAUAGACAAUGUCCUGAUUAAUGCAUUAACAUUCAUUUGGGAACGUAUGAACAAUAAAACAAGACAUUGCAUUAAGUUUUUCACGUGGUAUCCCAAGGGACAGAAAAUUAACAGAGUCUCACUAAUACAACAUUGGAUCCAAGAUCGUCUGGUUGAUACCCAUGAUGAAGGUACCAAUAUUAUCCAAAAUCUUGUUGAUACAUCCCUGCUUAAUAUUGUGGAGUUAAAUGGGGUCCAACUGCGAAGAGAGAUCUAUGAUGUAUUAGUAAACCCACUAAUUCUUCAAAUGCAUCCAUUUUAUCUUUUGCUAGGCAGGGCAAGAUUGAUUAAACCACCAGAAGAAGAGGAAUGGGAUGCCAAAGUGAUCAAUUUGAUGGAUAAUAAAUUAUCUGACCUGCCAGAAUCUCCAAGGUCACCCUCACUAAUUGCAUUGUACCUUCAGCGUAACUUGGAUCUCAUGACUAUCCCAUCUUGUUUCUUCAAGCACAUGCCUUUGCUUCAAAUCCUAGACUUAUCACACACCAGCAUCAAAUCUUUGCCAGAGUCACUUUCUAGUUUGGUUAACCUUCGAGAACUCCUUUUGAAAGGCUGUGAACUCUUCAUACGACUCCCUAGCCAUGUUGGAGAACUGAAGAAUCUUGAGAAGCUUGACCUUGAUGAAACUCAGAUUAUUGAUCUCCCAGCAGAGAUUGGACAACUUUCCAAAUUAAAAAUUUUGAGGGUCUCAUUCUAUGGAUAUAUGAACUGUAGCAAAACAAGGUUGCGGCAAGAUACAAUAAUUCCCCCUGGAACAAUAUCAGGUCUCUCUGAAUUAACUGAAUUAAGCAUUGAUGUUGAUCCGGAUGAUGAACGCUGGAAUGCAACGGUGAAAGAUAUUAUUGAGGAAGCUUGCAACUUGAAAACUUUAAGACAGCUUAAUUUGUACCUGCCAAACAUCGAAAUAUUGUGGAAACGCAGAACCGGUAGCGCAUCAUUGCUCCAUUACCCUUUGCCACGUUUUAGAUUUACUGUCGGUUAUCACAAGCGGCAGGUCAUAUCUCGAGUACCGGAAGAAGUAGAAGCUCACUUCAAUAAAAGCAACAAAUGCUUGAAGUUUGUCAAAGGCAAUGAUAUCCCAGCUGAAAUGAAAAAGGUUCUGAACCACAGCACAGCUUUUUUCCUGGAAGGUCAUGCUACCGCUAGGAGUUUGUCUGAUUUCGGAAUUGAGAAUACCAGGCUGCUAAAAUGUUGCUUAUUGACAGAAUGUAAUGGAGUCAAAACCAUCAUUGAUUUGUCACAAGGUGGUGGACACUCACAAGUUUACACAAGAGGAAAAGGGAAGAGCGAGUCACUGAGUAUGUGAUAGGACUUCCUUCAAAUGAUUUUUUUUUCCUCUUCUUGUUAUCAUUUCGUUUCAUUACAUAGGUAUUUAUACUACUCAAUAGAUGAUUCUAGACUCAAACAUUAAAUUUAAAACAUUCAUUUAGAUUUACGAAUAAUUAGGUUCAUGAAUACCUUCAUAAAUAGUAAUGUUCAUCUAGCUUCAUGAAUAAUUAGGUUCAUGAAUUCAUAUUAACUUUAAGUUUAAUAUCCAACAACUGAGCAAAAAAAAGUUUAAUAUCCAACAUGAUUGUGCAGAGUUUCCUGAAGAACAAACUGAUGCACUUGGAAAUCUACAAGACUUGAAUAUAUAUUACAUGAAGAAUUUAGAGAGCAUUUGGAAGGGGCCUGUUCAUAAGCACUGCCUAGCUAGCCUGAAGUUCCUUGCACUUCAUAAAUGCCCCAGAUUGAGUACCAUUUUCUCACUAGAUUUGGUUGCUAAUCUUGACAAUUUAGAAGAGCUCAUUGUUGAACACUGCCCUCAACUGACCAGUCUUGUGAGCCCGACGGGUCAUGUGUCCAGUAACUCAACACCACAACCAAAUUGCUUUUUUCCUAGCUUGAAAAGAAUAUCACUGCUUUACGUGCCAAAUCUUGUUAGCAUUUCUAGUGGUUUGUGGAUUGCUCCAGAACUGGAAAAAGUAGGCUUUUACAAUUGCCCAAAGCUUAAGAGUCUUUCCGCGAUGGAAAUGUCAAGUGACCAUUUGACGAGGAUCAAAGGAGAAAGUCACUGGUGGGAAGCAUUGGAGUGGAAAAACUCAGAGUGGGGGAACCCGCUGGAUUAUCUGCAGAGUAUCUUUUCCCCACUUAUUAAGGAGAGAGAUGUGAAGGCGCAAUUGGCAGAAGAAGGAAUUAUGCACCAUGCUUCAACUUAAACAAGGAGAGAGAUGUAAGGGCGCUGGGCAACAGCCAGGUAAUUUCUUUUGAAUUAAGAAGGUGUCCUUUUAUUUGUCAUCCAAAUAGUACAAGUAAAUAAGCAGAUAAUGGGCUUAAUAAUGAAGGAUGAGCAAUUCAGGAAGGGCUAAUAUCUGAUUCCCCUCACCCCCCACCAAAAAAAGGAUCAGCAAAAACAAUAAUAAGAACUACUGGGCACCUCUGUUCUUUUGUUUUUUGUCAGAGUUCUCUAUGUUCUUUAGACUAUACUUCUCAUGAUAUAAGUGAUUGGUCUUGGACAAAACUGUACUUCCAGGGCUCCAAGAGCUAAAUGUGGAACCAUGACAGCUUACGUUGGUGGCUCGGAUUUUGAAUAAAUUGAAGGUCACAGCCUAACACCAAACGGGUGAUAGUUUGUUUUGUCUGAGUAGGCAUCUGCAUGAGUAGCUUGCCGAUAGUGUAUGCACCUUUUGUUUUUUUAUGAUAUUAAACCUUGUAUUUGAUUUCUGAGAGAUACAUUUCUAACAUGGAUAUCAUCACGCCGAGGGUUCAAUGCCAGAACAUUGGCGGGUAUAUCAAGAAUUAGUUGUUUGCUAUAAUCCCUGUCAAGUUUUAUUCUGAUUAUGUUGAAAUUGUGAUAAAAGAGCUUUUGCUUCAUUUUUUGUUCUCUUGCAGUCUCUGUUCAUUGAUUGAAAACUGAAACUCUGUGAAGAUUUUGAACCAAUUGCUUUAUUAAAUUUCAGGCAUAUUGACGUAUCCUGGAAGUAACCUAGAGUUAAAGCAGCAAAUAAAAAUUUUUUGGGACCUAGAGUUAAGGCAGUGCGAAUUGUAGGCAUAUGUCCAAAGUUUUUCUUUGUGCUAUAGUAAAAGGUAACUAGUAUGAGGAAUCUACAACAUUUAUUCAAACUAAAGCAGUGCAAAUCUUAUGUUGUUCUUAAUUAUUCUCAUUACAGCAGUGCAAACUUGAAUAACCAAAGAAACAUUCACCUGAGGCAACAGCAGGAUUGAAGGUGGUCUCUAACCUCACUGUCUCUCCACUGUAGUGCUUCCCACCAUUUUCGUUUUCCUUCUAUUAAUUUUAGCUCUGUUGCAUUAUGUUCACUGAAAGGUAGUGAUUUCACCUCGGGACAUCCAAAUAUCUUAAGCACCUUUAAAUAGGGCCAUGCCGAUGACUCAUCCGCAGAUAUAAUUCUUAAUUUCGGCAUGUCAACCAGUUCCAAAAUCUCUAGAGUUGGAAGCUCAGUCAAGUUUUCUAUCUCGAAGUAGCUUUCCAUCACCAAUUUUUUGAGUUUUGAGAGCUGUUGAAUCACCCGUUUGGAAAAUAUCUUUGUCAACAUUGGACAACUCUUUACUACAAUAGUGUGCUGUUUUGACAAGCUUUUUCCUGAAGUGGGGCCUUCGAAAAUACUCUUCUUAAGGAGCAAAUUCCUUAAAUGUAACUAUUCCAAGAUCGGUAGAAUGUCCAUUUCUCCUUCCCUUGCGGCAUCUAUAAUGCUUGUGAUUUUUUUUUUUUGAAUAAUAACGACUAUUAUUAGCUAGGUCUGGAAAAUGAAUACAACCCUGAAGGAAGAACAAGACAACAAGGUAACAAGGGAAACAGAGAUUUGCCUGAUAGAUCUCUGUUUCUCAUAGUACCCAAUCCAAGACUCAAUCCCCUGAGUAAUCGGAGCAUCAUUCAAAACAAAAGAACAACCAAGCUCCUUGAGAAAAUAAAAAGUGAUGUACACUCCCCUGACAAAAAGAACACAACCUCCCUUAUUCUAGACAGCAGAACCCCAGAACCUCUUCCCAGACUCCAGCCCUCUAAGAUGAGAAAGGAGAAGAAACAAAGGGGGGCACAGAUUCAUGACAAUGCUCACAUAGCAUCAAAGUUCUGCCUAACAUCAACCUGCCUCACCAUCAAUUUAAAACAUACACAAUGUUCCAGAGCCAAAAUUCGCUGCAUUUUUGGCGAGUAUAUCAGCCUCCUGGUUUGCUUCCCGCAGAGUGUGAGUUAUCUUCCAAGGCCCUAGCUGUUCCUCAAUCAUUUCAAUUAAAAUAACCCAUAUGCUUGUGAUUUUAUUGCAUCGCUCAAUCAGACAACCGCGAACAUGGUUCAGGCUGGCAACAUUCAUGAAGUCUGUUAGACAUUUGAUGUUGUUGUGACAGAUCAAUUCCAAUGCAUCAGUUUUAGGAAGGACAUCACGAACUGUAGAAUCAUCAUUGCCAGGACAGCAGUAUCUCAUAUAUCUAUUUACAUUGUAUUCCAAACAGUGAAGAAUCCAAGGGUUGUUGUCGCUUUCACAGCCAACCAAAAACCAAAAUGAGGUUAAUUGUUCGCGAUCCCUCCAUGAUGGCCUGUUUUCAAUUAACAUUUUGAGGAUCUUUGAUCGCGGAAAGCUUAUUCUAAGAGUAGUUAAAUUCUUCAAGAAAGCCACUUCCUGAAUGACUCUUUUUGCAACAUCAAUGCACCAAUGCCCAUAGGAGGUCACAUCAAUCAUCAGUUCCUCCAGUCUUAGAAGUCUUGAAAUCACCUUGUAAUCAAUUUCCAUAUCAUGACAAUCUUCUAUAUUGCUGCAUUUAUGGUAUGACAUCCGCAAGCACCUUACGUCAACUAAUUUUCCAAUAAGAUGAGGUAUGAAUAUUAUCUUGCGCAGCCUUUAAUGUCAAGCACCUCAAGAAAAUGAAGUUCUGCAACUUAGGGAGGCAACUUUGUUACGCUGGGGCAAUCAUUUAAGAAAAGUGCCUUAAGUCUAAUCAACUUUGAUACAGAUGACGACAGUCAUUGAAUUCGUGUUUGGUACAAGUCCAAAACUAGGAGCGUCUGCAUGUUCUUAAAAAAUGAUGGUGGAAUUGCGACCAAAUCGGGGUUUUUUUGUAGUAAUAGAGACAAAAGUUGGUUGCAGUUUGGACUUGCUGGCAAGUCAUUCAGUUUUCCUUCAAUCAUGGAGAUCCUUUUUGCCUGUUGCCAAUCUUUCAGCCUUUGGGUAUAAGGUGAAGUUUCACCUUUUGGAGCAAAAAAUUUGCAAUCAGGGUCUUGUGAGGAAACGUACAAGGCCAAUUGUCUGACACUAUUGUUCACUUGAACAUAAAUCAUUCUUUCACCUUUCUCUAGCAAUGGCACAUUGGUUAGAUGUCCCAAUAUGUCAUAUCCUUUAUCUCUUGCAUCCCGAAGACUCCUCCUGUCAUCAAUAUUGCCAAGAAGUCCUUCAGCCGCCCAACACUCCAGUAAUAAUCUGUAUAUAUCUUGCUAUCAGCUGGAUAUAAUGCACCAUAUAGAAAGCAUUUCUUUUUCUUCUCAACCUUCAGCUCGUCAUAACAAAACUUGAGUGCUGCAGACAUUUUUGUUAAACCUGGGAUCUCAAUUGUUGGCCAUUUUUCAAGUUCGCUCAAUUCAUUUCUCCAUUCAGAAUCACUGUCCUUUAAUUUGAAGGAACUUGCUACUGUUCUGAUCACAAGUGGGAGUCGAUCACACUCUUCAACUACCAGCCGAGCAACUGGUUCAACAUCAGGGAGAUCGAUUUUCUCAGCUGCUAUCUGUUGAAACAUCCUCCAUGCCUCAUCUGAAGAUAAUUUAUCCAUUUUGACCAUUCUAUCUGUCAUUGACGAACAAACAUGACGGAAUUCAGUAGUCAAUACCACUUUGCUACCAUUACCAUUGUAAUACCCCUCACAAAGUAUUUAUUAAAAAAAAAAUUAAAUUAAAAUUAUUAAGCUAUAGUUUUAUAAAGAUAAUAAGUAGAUAUUAUUUUAGUAUUUUAUUUAUUUACAAUUAUGACCUUGGGUGUCUUAAUAAAUAAAAAAAAAUAGAAAAAAUGGUCUUUAAGUAAAAGAAGAAGUUUAAUUAAGUCAGUUUUAUUAUCACGUUUAAGUUAGUGGAGUUAAGGGUCAGUUUUUUUAUCCCAUUUAAGUUAGUGGGGUUAGGUAGUUUAUAAGUUUUAAAAGAACAGACAACAACUUACGUUAGUUCAUUCAUCAUAUUCAAACAACAGACAGUCAGAAAAACUUAAUAUCAGGGAAGAAGAAAGACAGAUGAGAGGGAAAGAUAUUGCUGAUUAAGGUAUGUUUGGGAAUUAUAUUUUCAUAAUUUGGGUACAAAAACCCUAAAUUAGAUAAGUUUUUUUUAUUUUUUUUAUUUAAAUUCGGCACUUUUCUGAUGACUUUCCUGUAGCAUGAUGGGUACCAAUGGAAAGGUCUUGAAAAGAUCUUUCCAAUGGUUUUUGUAGCAUCUUGUUUGGCCUUAUGGUUAGGAAUAUAUGAAUUUUUGAAGUUAAUUAGAAAUCUGGUUUUCAACAGUUUUGACAGCCCGACUUUGGGUCACCGGAACUCCAUNNNNNNUGGAUAUGUGAUUUCUACUGUAUUUUUAUGUUAAGAAGUAUGUAUUUUUAUAUUUUAUAAAUUUAUUUCUUAAAUUAUAGAUUUUAUUAAAAUAUCAAAAAUUUAUGAAAAAUUAUAAAUAUGAUUUUUUACAAGUGAAAUUAGUAUUAUUUCUCUAUCUGAAAUUUAAAGUCCUUACUGAUUUUAUGAUUUAAGUUUAAUUCUCAACCUUAUUGAAAAUUUUGUUUAAUUCAAAAAUAUAAAUAAUAAUAAUAUAUUACCUUAUUAACAAAAAAAAAAAAGUUCAUAAAUUGUAAUAGGAGUCGCUACACACCCUAAGUGCUUAGGAUGGUCAACGAAAAGUCGCCUUGUAGGAUCUGUUUGCAAAUUUAGUUCUGAUUUUUGUGUUUCUCGAAAUACUAGGCUACUAAGAGGAUUUUCGGAUUUGCUACUUGAAAGUAAAAUUUACGAGAUCAAGUAAGUGACUGAUAUCCCUUCGGUGUUUUCACACCUUAAAAAUUAGCUUCAAUCUGAAUUUGUACAUGAGAUAUAAUAUUUUGUCCUAUGAUUUAUUAAAAUUGGGUUGAGCAUGCAAAAUGUAUAUGUAUAUAAGUUUAUAUGUUAGAUUUAAAAUGUGAUUUAUGCAAAACGUGAUUUCUGAAUUGGAAAUUUGUUCAUGACUUGGUUUAAUGUAUACGUAUAUGUUUUUGCGAAUAUAAACAUAAAUGUUUAGUUUGAAACGAAUAUGCUUUUAAGGUGUAUGAGAUAUGCUUGAGAAAUUUGAUAUACUGUUUUAUGAUCUUUGGGUAAUCUAAAAAUAUAUAUUUCUGUUUUAUCUCCUAGUAUGGCUAUGCUCUAACCCUGCUAAUGUGGGUUAAAUGUUGGCCAUGUCGACAUGUAUUUUGUGAUUAGAGAUCGAUCUCCCAACCGCACCACCGAUUACAGAAUAGUGGUAUUUGUGAUAUUUGUUCAGUGCAGCCAAUGGUUGCUUUUUCUGACCCAUGCCACUGGGGUUAAUUGUGGUUCUAUUUCUGACCUAUGUCACAGGGGUUAAGUGUGGUCGUAGCAUGUUAUAGGAGACCAUUAAAAGUUAAAUAUUGUGAAUAUAUUUGUUCUGUUAUUUGAAUGCGCAAAUUUUGAAUUAUGUGAUUCCAAAUAAGAUUACCCAAUAUUUUGUCUUGGCAUUUGUAAAUGAUAUUUUGCCCUGAAUGUUUUAAGCAUGCUUAAUCUGGCUGAAUGGAUGUUAGUUAUUUGCUGAGUAGUUGGACUCACCCCUUCCUUCAAUUUUUUUUCAGGUUGUGAUUUGGUCAACCACGCGGGAACUUUGGGGAGUGAUGUUUAAUUUAGUAAGACUUAAAUUAUCUAGGAUUUAUUUAAAUAUUAUGAACAUCGUACUAUCUUAAUUAGUAUUCAGACUUUUAUCUUGACUUAGUAGCUUUAUGGUUUUGGAGAUUUAAUUUUGAAUAUUGUCGAAUUAUGAUAUUUGGAAAUUCUGUCAACAGAUAUAGUUUAUAAAUCACUAAAUUCUUCAGGUAUAUCAGUAUCUUUUAGUAAUAGUUUAAGAUAUAUAUUUUAGAGCCUUGCAUGUCUGUAGAAUUAUACUUUAUAGGUAUGCGACGUCUGUCAUGUCUCGGGUCUGAGGCGUGACAACCAUAUUUGGGAUUCUAAUCUGCUGCAAAUCAAUGGAGUCCAUGACCUCAUCCAGAAGCAGCAAAUACUUCUUAUGCUUCAUAUAUUCUGAUAUGAUCCUCGCAAGUUCACCAGAGCACGUAGCACGUUCCGCCUUCAGUUUAAGUCGCUGUGCAAUGUUCAGUUGCAGUUUCUCAUCAUUCCUCUCCCUUGAAACAUUUAUCUAAAUGACUAUAUCAAACAUUUUGGCAACUUCUUCGGGGUUGUUCAAGUUCUUCAUUAUUGUUGUUUUCCCAACUCCCACUGUGCCAAAAAUUCCGAUUCCUUUUAGUUUAUCGCUUCUUAGCAACUCCCGUAUUUCUUGUAAUGAUCUUCGAAGGGUAGGAAAUCCUUCAAGGUCUGGUGCAUUCAACUUCACAAUUUUUUCUGGAGGCUUAUCUACCAAAAAUCCUCUUUUAAAUGCUCCCUCUCUUUCACAAUUUUUUCGAAUUGUGCACCCAGCUUCAACUUAAACAAGGAGAGAGACGUAAGGGCGCUGGGCAACAACCAGGUAAUUUCUUUUGAAUUCAGGGGGUGGCCUUUUAUUUUUCAUCCAAGCAGUACUAGUAAAUAGGCAGAUAGUGGGCUUAAAUAUGGAGGAUGGACAAUUCAAAAAGGGCUAAUGUCUGAUUCCUCCAACCCAAAAAAUAAACCCAACAAAAACAAUAAGAAAAACCACUGGGCACCUCUGUUCGUUUGUUUUUUGUCAGAGUUGUCUAUGCUUUUUAGAAUAUUCUUCCCAUUGUUCAUGAUUAAAGUGAUAGGUCUUGGACAAAACUGUAUUUUUAGGAGUGCAGGAGCUAAAUGUGGAACCAUGGCAGUUUACAUGGGUGGAUCUGUUCUUGAAUAAAUUAUCUAAAGAAAUGCUGAAGGUCGAAGCCUCACCAACAUGGGAGAUAGUUUAUUUUCUCUGAGCAGGCAUUUGUAAGUGGUAUAUGCACCUUUAAUUUUCCCUGAUAUAAAACCUUUUAUUGGAUUUAGAGAGACACAUUUCCAACAGGAUAUCAUCACGCUAAGGGUUCAAUGCCAGAGCAUUGACAGGUAUUUCAAGAAUUAGUUGUUUGCUACAACCCCUGUCAAGUUUGAUUCAGAUUAUGUUGAAAUUGUCUUUGGCAAAUACCUAUAACUCCAUGCAGCAGUUGGAAAUAAAGAGCUUUUUCAUUAUUUUGUUUUCUCCUGCAAUCUCUGUUCUUUGAUUGAAAACUGAAAAUCUGUGAAGAUUUUUAACCAACUGCUUUAUUGAAAUUCUGGCAUAUUGAUUUUGUAUCCUGGGAGUAAAGCAACAAAUUUCAGGCAUAUGUUCAAAGUUUUUCUUUAUGCUACACUGAAAGGUAACUAGUACGAGGAAUUUCCAAAUCCAACGGCUUCUAACAUUUCAAGUCUACAACACCCAUUCAAUCAAAGCAGUGCAAAUCCUAUGUUGUUCUUAAUUGUUGUAAUUAUAGCUGUACAAAUUAGAAUAACCAAAAGCAACAUUCACCUUAGGCUGCAAAAGGAUUGAAUAUGGUCUCUAACCUCACUGUUUCGCCACUGCAAUGCUUCCCACCAUAUUUGUUCUCCCUCUAUUAACUUCAGCUUGGUCGAAAUGUCUUCGUUGAAAGGUAACGAUUUCAACUCGUGACAUCCAAAUAUCUUAAGGACCUUUAAAUACGGCCAUGCCAAUGGCUGUCCUGCGCAUAUAGUUCUUAAUUUCGGCAAGUCAAUUAGUUCCAAUAUCUCUAGGCUCGGAAGCUCAUAUGAAAAUGGUUCAACGCCCCAACAGUUCUCAAUCAAUUCUUCUACCUCGAAACAGCUUUCAAUUGCCAAUUUCUUGAGUUUGGAGACCUGUUGAAUCACUCCAUUAGACAGUAUCUUUCUCAACAUUGGGCAACUCUUCACCACAAUGGUAUGUAGCUUUGACAAGCUUUUGCCUGCAAUAGGGCCUUCAAAAACACUCUUCAGACAGAGCAAACUCCUUAAAUGUAACUGUUCCAGAAUUGGUAGAAUGUCUAUAACUCCUACCUUGUUGCCAUCUAAAAUAGUUGUCAUUUCAUUGCAUCUUUCAAUCAGACAACCACGAACAUGGUUCAGGCUGGCAACAUUCACGAAGUCUGAUAGACAUUUGAUGUUGUUAUGACUGACCAAUUCCAAUGCAUCAGUUUUAGGAAGGACAUCACGAAUUGUAGAAUCAUCAUUGCCAGGAUAGCAGUAUCUCAUAUAUCGAUUUACUUUGUACUCAAAGUAGUCAAGAAUUGGAGGAUUGUUCUUGUUUUCACAGCCAACAAAAAACCAAAAUGAAGUUAAUUGUUUGUGAUCCCUAUAUGAUCGCUUGUUUUCCAUUAACAUUUUGAGGAUCUCUGGUUGUGGAAAGCAUAUUCUGAGAGUAGUUAAAUUCUCCAAGGAAGCCACUUCCCGAAUGACUCUUGCAACAUCAACGCACCAAUGGCCAUAGGAGGUCACAUCAAUCAUCAGUUCCUCCAAUCUUAGAAGCCUUGAAAUCACAUUGUCAACAAUUUCCACAUCACGACAGUCUUCUGUAUUGCUGCAUUUAUGGUAUGACAUCCGCAAACACCUCAAAUAAACUAAUUUUCCAAUAAGUGGAGGUAUGAAUAUUAUCUUGCAGCCUCGAAUGUCAAGCACCUCAAGAAAACGAAGUUCUGCUACUUGGGUAGGCAACUUUGUUAUGCUGGGGCAAUCAUUUAAGAAAAGAGCCUUAAGUCUAGUCAAUGUUGAUACAGAUAAUGGCAGUGAUGCUAUUCCUGUCCUGUACAAGUCCAAAACUAUAAGCUUCUGCACGUUCUGGAAAAAUGAUAGUGGAAUAGUAGCUAAAUUAGGAUUUCUUUAUAGUAAUAGAGACAAAAGUUCCUCACAGUUUGGACUUUCUGGUAACUCAAGCAGUUUUCCUUCAAUCAUAGAGAUCCUUUUUGCCUGCUGCCAAUCUGUCGCAUUUUGAGGAUAAGGUGAAUGUUCACCUUUUAAAGCAAUGAAUUUGCAAUCAGGCUCUUGUGAGGAAAUGUAUAAGGCAACUUGUCGGACACUGUUGUUCACUUGAACAUAGAUCAUUCUCUCACCUUUCUCUAGCAAUGACACAUUGACUAGAUGCCCCAAUAUGUCAUAUCCUUCAUCUCGUGCAUCUCGAAAUCUUCUCCUGUCAUCAAUAGUCCCAAGGAAUCCUUCAGCCGCCCCAACACUCCACUAAAUGAUCAACAUAUAUCUUGCUACCAGCUGGAUAUAAUGCACCAUACAGAAAGCAUUUCUUUUUCUUCUCAUCCUUCAGCUCAUGAUAACAAAACUUAAGGAAUGCAUGCAUGUUUGUUAAGCCUUGAAUCUCAAUUUCUGGCCAUUUUUCAAGUUCUCUCAAUCCAUUCCUCCAUUCAGAAUCACUUUCCUUCAGUUUGAAGGAACUUGCCACUGUUCUGAUCACAAGUGGGAGUCGAUCACACUCUUCGGCUACUAGCCGAGCAACUGGUUCAACAUCAGGGAGAUCUAUUUUUUCAGCUGCUGUCUGUUGAAACAUCCUCCAUGCCUCAUCUGGAGAUAAUCGGUCCACUUUGACCAUUCUUUCUGUCAUUGAGGAACAAACAUGACGGAAUUCAGUAGUCAAUACCACUUUGCUACCAUUACCAUUAUCUGGGAUUCCAAUCUGCUGCAAAUCAAUGGAAUCCAUGACCUCAUCUAGAAGCAGCAAAUACUUCUUAUCCUUCAUAUGUUCUGAUAUGAUCCUCGCAAGGUCACCAGAGCAUGUAGCACUUUCCAUCUUAAGUUUAAGUCGCUGUGCAAUUUUCAGUUGCAGUUUCUCCUCAUUCAUCUCCCUUGAAACAUUUACCCAAAUGACUAUAUCAAACAUUUUGGCAACUUCUUCGUGGUUAUUCAAGUUCUUCAUUAUUGCUGUUUUCCCAACUCCCACUGUGCCAAAAAUUCCAAUUCCUUUUAGUUUAUCACUUCUUAGCAACUCUAGUGUUUCUUGCAAAGGUCUUUGAAGGGUAGGAAAUCCUUCAAGGUCUGGUGCAUUCAACCUUACAAUGGCUUCUGGAGGCUUAUCUACUAGAAAUCCUCCUUGAAAAUCUCCCUCUUCCACAAGUCUCUCAACUUCCUGGCGCAAAGUAAUGGCCUUGCCACUGUAAUCUGAUCGGCGCAUCAAAUGUGAAGAUCGUUCCUUAUCAUACUCAGCUCGUAAUCUUUCCACUUUUUCAAGAGUCUUCACAACGCUGCUGAGCUACGUUUGAUAGCAUCUGGUGGUUGUUUUUGUUCUAUUUUGUUCCACUAUCCUCUCAUUGUCGUCCCUUUUUGCCUGGAGCUUUUCUGCUGCAGUUAUCAUCAUGUCAAAAUUAUUAUCCAUAUUGUACGAUAAACCACGCUUCCCCAUAAAAUUGUUGUGUUUUGAUGGAUAUAUGAGAAGUAUGAAAGCACAGCAAGUGAAAAAGAGUUUUCUGGAGUAACAGAAGCUUAAUGUUUUUGAUAUGCAUUAACUUAGUUUUUAAUACAUAGCAAAGCUUAACUAGUAAGCUUAGAUCAGUAUAAGGCACAAGAAUACAUGCUAAUCAUUGCAUAAGUCUUUCACUAGAUGCAUAGCUAUCAUAAUAAGAUAGGAAUCUAGCUGUCUUAAUACAAAAUGAUCACAUAUGAUCCUAAGGUUAAUAGCAUGCACUGAUGUGGUUUUCAAUGCAAGUCCUAUUUCAACAAAAAUAGUUCCAUGCUUCCUUUGCCAAUUCGAUUGUGACUUCCAGCCCAUCGUUAGCCAUUAUAACUUCUACGCUGCAACUGGCAUUCCAAAUUGCAAAAAAAAAAAAAAAAAAGGAUCAGGUGUCUACUCUGCUCAUAUUUAUAUACUUUAGAGGGUAACUCAAAUUCCUGAAGUGGUCAGGCUAAGAUAAUUUGCAGCCAAAGUACUCUUGUUUCUUUAUAGCAAAAUUCUUCUUUUAUGUCUUUAUUCUUCCUAAACCCCAAACAAUGUCAGUUACUAUCUUCUUUAACCUCUUCCGAGUUCAAUUCAAAGCUUCAUGUAUAACCCUGAAAUCUUACCAAGAAAACAGAAGUAAAGAAAUCUCUCUCCAGAUUUAUUCCAACCCUCAGAAUCCAAUUAUAUUUCUUCCAAUAUAAGAAAAAGAUAUAUCAAAUUUCUUACCUUUUAUUUGCGGUCGAAGACAAAGAAACUUCCACGACAUGCCCAGCAGUUCCUGGUAGCUUUUUCUACACCUCGGCUGUAUCUCUUCCAUGCACUGAAAUUCCAACUGGAAAACAAGAACACAAACGUGAUAAUGGCUACCUGAUGAGAUAUACAAUUAGAAAUUGACUAUGUUCAUUUGAAUUCAGAGUUUUAAAGUACUUUUACUAAAGAGAAAGAUCGAGCUAAGGUUCAAAAAUUAAAAAAAAAAACAAUCAAUCAACUUGGAUUGAGGUGAUUAAAGAUUCUCUUAACAUUCGGGAUGUUCCAUCUUCCCUACUAGAUGGUGACAGCCCCAUUUUCUCUUUGUGGUAAGCUUCAACUAGUAGUUGCCUUGGUAACUCUAUUUCUAAGAAAAUAUAAAUAUAAUUUCUACUUUUGUUUCUUCAAUAAUUUAAAAAGUUGAAAAUCAUAACUUUGUGAGUCUCGCGUCCCCUUGUCUGCUUCCCAUUGAUUAAGGAAAACCCUUAGGCUUAACGCCGAUGGUUCAACUACCUGCUCCUGUCGAAAUCCUUGGGACCCCUUCAAGUCUGGGACAGGUGACAAGGUGACAGCUGGGAGAUGGAGAGAAAACAGUGCAUACCAGCCUUCUCACAUGAAGUUUGAAAGCUUUGAACAAGCCUGCUGGAGUGGUGGAGGCCGUGGCAGAGAGGCUGAGUAUGAGAUGAGAAAAACAGGGGAGUUGCUGCUCAGCAUUUAAUAGGUUGGUCUAAGCUUGUUUCGCACAAGACUUCUCUCCCGCUGAUACAGAUACAUAUGCAAGCCAGGUACUCGAAUUCCUUACACUAAGCAAUUUGUUUGCAUGAUUUUUUUUUUAUUAAAAAAAAUAGCCCAUAAACCAAGUUGAUCCUUGUGGAAGCACUUCAAGAAUAAAAUUUUGAAUGCACUAAGUCGACGUUAGAGAAUGUGCCUUUAAGGUUGUCUGGGCAAGAUUGUAUCAUUAAUGCAUGCUCAUCAUCUUACCUUGCGUAUUAUUAUUAUUAUUAUUAUUUGAUAGCUAAUUCUCGACUCUUAGUUCAUAUUGCUACAUGCUUUCAGCUUCGAAUUCAUUAAUUUUCCAUCCUCAGAUAACAAUGUCCCGCUGCUUUUGUCUUGUAUUCAAUCACAUUUGGUGGACGACACCUCAUCUCCCAUUGUCUAGACUUUAUGGUACUACAUCUUACGUCUUUCUCUUUCUCUCUUUUUUUCUUUUUUCGAUAGAGAAAUGGAGAGCUGGGAACAUAAGAAUCUUAGAAAUUAGCUAAUACGAGGAAUGAAGCUAGCAAGGAAGCUUCAAGCGUAUCUCAAAGCUUCCAAAGAAGCUUGUGAAUUACAGAAACAGAUUCUAUCCUCCCAAGGAAAGGCAUUUUCAAUUAUUAACUGCAGCACCUCCUCCACGGCAGCCAAGCCAAAGUACAUAGCUCACAGCUCGCCUACUCGUAAGGGAAGUUGCCGGAGUGAGGACUCUGACCAUGAUUUCAAGGAGCAGUACUAUGGAAGGCACACUUGCAAUAUAGCCUCAGAUGUGAUGCCUUCAAGACUACCCAAAAUACUAGCUGUACAGAACCUACUCUUUAUCAUUUUCUGUUUAGAUUAGGGUCUUUUUUAUAGAUAGAUUAAAGUAAUUUACAUACUGAUAUUAUAGUGAAAUAAGUAUUUUUCAUGUAUAUUUGCAGCCUUCGGAUACUGUAGGUGAUGUAGAUGGAUAUGAUAAACAGGAUUCAAAAUCUAGUCUUCAGUCAAGCGUAAACAAUCCUGUUGAUCAAACUUGCAUUUCAUCAACCGAGGUGACGAGUGAGCUUCCAAAUUCAGAGCUCAACCAGAAUGAGUUCCCAAACCCAUCAUAUACGUCACCUCUAACAAUCCUUUAUGAGUAUCAAGUGAGGAAGAACUGCAAGGUGCUGAACAGGAAGAAGGAUGUGCUACUCCUACUUUCAUGUUAUCCUAUGAUUAUGAUUGACAAAUUUGACUCAAAGAAAUGGAUUACAGAUGUAUGGCAUUCAUGAGAGAUGCAAAAUCAACAGAAAAGAUUUUAUACGGUGAAGAGGUAGCGGAAGAUUGGCCAUUAAUAAUGAGGCUACAUGAACUUUCUGUACGCUUGCAGAAGCUGCUCGAUGUUCCCUUGACGAAUAAUAUUGAGCGAGUUUUACCAGGGGACAUAGUUGAGAAUCUAUAUAGGCCAACAGAAGCUGAUUUAAGACCCUUGUUGGAGGUGGAACAGAAUAUAAUUGCCGGAAAGACAUCAAAAUCUAGAGGUUCACCAAGUCACAGUGAAGGGGCAGCAAUGGAAACUGAAAAUGAAUUGCAGCCAAUGCCUGCAAGAUGUAAAACUCAGGUAGAAGAUACUGAGUUGUCAACCAAAGAAACACUGUAUGUACCCGAAGAAAUAUUGGAUUUGGCCGUUGAUUUAGCUAUUCAUUAGAUCUUAAGAUGUAUAAACAGAGGAGAUAUCAGGUGUAUUACAAUCAGUGGAAGAAAUAAAAAAAGGGUGUUAGAAGCAAUAAAGCAACACUGAGAAAUAGGUUCCACGUUUGGAUAUAUCAUUGUUUUCACUGUGUCAGAUAAUCAAAAUGGGGCAAAGGUUCACGGUGUCUUUCACCUGCAGAAGGGGUUUUGGCUAGGUGGAUGCUCUGAUGCUGUUGGCCUUACACCUGAAUAUUCUGACCACUUGUGCUCCCUAGGAAACUUAUUGCUUACGGAAGAUGAUUAUGAUGAGAACAUGAACCUGGAUCACUUUACACUCCCAUUUUUGAUAACUGGUUGACCAUAAACAUAGUGAUUCAAGGUUCAUAAUCUUUACUUCUAAAAUGGCAGUAGACAUGGAGAUUAGAAUGGAGGAUCAUUUGUUUUCGUGGAAAUUGUUUCAUAGGAUUGUGGGUGAAGUUUCGCUUUCCCCUAGUAUCCAACAGAUGGCAGCAUGUAUGGUGAAAGAGUGCCGUGGCAAUCUACUUGCCAUCCUUCUAAUGGCCAGUUCCUUGAAGAAAGUUACUGACGAUGUCAAAUUGUGGGAACUUGCUGUUCAAAGAUUGACCAUGCUACCUCCAUCUCGAUAGAAGAUAUAGAAAAUGUGGUUAACGCAUUAACAUUCGUUUGGGAUCAUAUGAACAAGAAAACAAGACAUUGCAUUGAGUUUUAUAUACUGUAUCACAAGGGAAAGAAAAUCAACAGAUUCGAACUAAUACAAUGUUGGGUCAAGGAAAAUGUGGUUGGUACCUAUGAUGAAGGAGACCGCAUUCUCCAAAGUCUUAUUGAUAUAUUCCUGCUUAAUUAUUUUGUGGUGUUAAAUUGUGUCGAACUGCAAGGAGAGAUCUAUGACGUAUUAGUGAACCUAGUUAUUCCCCAAUCCCAAAUGCAUCCAUUAUGUCUUAUGAAAGGAGGGUUGAGAUUGAUUAAACCACCAAAAGAAGAGUUAUGGUGGGAUGCCAAAGAGAUCCAUUUGAUGGAUAAUAAAUUAUCUGACCUACCAGAAUCUCCAACGUGCCCCUCACUAUUUAAACUGUACCUUCAGAAGAACUUGGAUCUGAUGGCUAUCCCAUCUUGUUUCUUCAAGCACAUGCCUCUCCUUGAAAUUCUAGACUUAUCACACACCAGUAUCAAAUCUUUGCCAGAGUCGCUUUCUAGUUUGGUUAAACUUCGAGAAUUCCUUUUGAAAGGCUGUGAACUCUUCACACAACUCCCUAGUCAUGUUGGAGAACUGAAGAAUCUUGAGAAGCUUGACCUUGAUGGAACUCAGAUUAUAGAUCUCCCAGCAGAGAUUGGACAUCUUUCCAAAUUAAAAAUUUUGAGGGUCUCAUUCUAUGGAUAUAUGAACUGCAGCAAAACAAUGUUGCGGCGAGAUACAAUAAUUCCCCAUGGAACAAUAUCAGGUUUUUUUGAAUUAACUGAAUUAAGCAUUGAAGUUGAUCCGGACGAUGAACGCUGGCAUGCAACUGUGAAAGCUAUUAUUGAGGAAGCUUGCAACCUGAAAACUUUAAGACAGCUUAAUUUGUACUUGCCAAACAUCGAAAUAUUGUGGAAAUGCAGAACACGUAGCACAUCAUUGCUCCAUUACCCCUUGCCACGUUUCAGAUUUACUGUCGGUUAUCACAAACAACAGGUUGUAUCUCGAGUACCAGAAGAAGUUGAAGCUCACUUCGAUAAGGGUGACAAAUGCUUGAAGUUUGUCAAAGGCAAGGAUAUCCCAGCUGAAAUGAGAAUGGCACUCAACCACAGCACAGCUUUUUUCCUGGAAGGUCAUGCUACCGCUACUAGUUUGUCUGAUUUUGGAAUUGAAAAUUCAAGGCAGUUAAAAUUUUGUUUACUGACAGAAUGUAAUGAAGUGCAAACCAUAAUUGAUUGUGCAGAGUUUCCUGAAGAACAAACUGAUGCACUUGGAAAUCUACAAGACUUGAAUAUAUAUUACAUGAAGAAUUUGAGGAGCAUUUGGAGGGGAACUGUUCAUAAGAACUGGUUAGCUAGCCUGAAGUUCCUUGCACUUCAUAAAUGCCCCAGAUUGAGUACCAUUUUUACACCAGAUCGGAUUGCUAAUCUUGCCAGUUCAGAAGAGGUUAUCGUUGAACACCGCCCUCAACUGACUAGUCUAGCGAGCCUAAUAGGUCGUGCGUCUUGUAACUCAGCACCACAACCAAAUUGUUUUCUUCCAAGCUUGAAAAGAAUAUCACUGCUUUACGUACGAAAACUUAUUAGCAUCUCUAGUGGUUUGCACAUUGCUCCAAAACUGGAAAAAGUAGGAUUCUACAAUUGCCUGAAGCUUAAGAGUCUUUCUACGAUGGAAAUGUCAAGUGAAAAUUUGAAGGUGAUCAAAGGAGAAAGACACUGGUGGGAAGCAUUGGAGUGGAAGAACUCGGAGUGGGGGAACCGGCUAGAUUAUCUGCAUAGUAUCUUUUCCCCACUUAUUAAGGAGAGAGAAGUGAAGGCGCAAUUGAGAGAAGAGAGAAUUAUGCUCCAUGCUUCAACUUAAACAAGGAGAGAGAUGUAAGAGCACUGGGCAACCGCAAGGUAAUUUUCUUUUGAAUUAAGAGGGUGUCCUUUUAUUUGUCAUCCAAGUUGUACUAGUAAAUAAGCAGAUAAUGGGGUUAAAAAUGGAAGAUGAACAAUUCACGAAGUGCUAACAUCUGAUUCCCCUCACCCCCACAAAAAAAAAAAACAUCAACAAAAACAAUAAGAAGAACCAUUGGGCACUUCUGUUCUUAUGUUUUUUUGUCAGAUUUCUCGAUGGUUUUCAGACUAUACUUCCCACUGUUCAUGAUUUAAGUGAUUGGUCUUGGACAAACUGUAUUUCCAAGAGCCCAGGAGCUAAAUGUGGAACUAUGACUGGAACAGGUUGUAUGAUUGUGUCUCAGUAUGCUUUGUUUAUGUUCGUUUGUGAUGUCUGGAACAGGUUGGUUCUGGUUGAUGGUUUGCUUUAAUGAUGGCUGUUGAGGGCAUGAUAGGAGUCUUUGCUUCUGGAAUUCUGUGUGUACAGUCUGGCAUGGGAUUGGCUCUGUUAUUUUUGGUUAGGGCCAGUUUUGUUUUCUGUCUUUGUAGUCUCUAAGCUAUGGGAAUUUUGUGAAAGAUGCUUGCAGAAGUGUACAUAGGGGACAGGAUAAGGCCUGUGAGAGGAUUUUGGUAUGUUAUACUCGAGUGGAAGUGUAACAGGUCAAAAUCUUGUACCUAUCAGAAGGUGAACAAUGGUUCCCUCUUUUUCCAAUGAAUUCAUGACUUAUCAAAAAGAAAAUGUGGAAGAAAAUCAGAUAAUUUAGAGGGGAGCUCAAAUUCAUGAAGUGGUCAGGCAAAGAUAAUUUGCAGCCAAAGUACUCCCGUUUCUUUAUAGCAAUAUUAAAAUAUUUACUUGAACCAAAAAAUGAAAAUCGGAUGCAAGUUGAACACCGGCAAUAGUUAAAACCCCAAGUAAGGUCAGUGCUAAUACCCUCUUCCGAGGAGAGCUCAAGGCUUCAUGUAUAAACCUGAAACCUUACCAGGAAAACAGAUCCAGAUAUAUUCCAACCCUCACAAUCCAAUUAUAUUUGUUCCAACAUUAGAAAAAAGAUAUAUCGAAUUUCAUACCUUUUAUUUGCUGUCGGUCGACUGUUGCUAGCUGAAAACAAUAACAGUCUUGCCUAUGCAAUAUGUAAAUAUGCUCAAAUUGAUUGUAAAUUACUAGCAAAUAACUCGUGUAAGUGUACACGGUCGUGACAAGUAGUAAGUAAUGAGUAGGAUGUCGAAUCUCGAAGAGUUGGUAUAAUGAUUGCUGUUAAUUACCAAAAUUGACACAAGCUAACCUUAUCCAAAGAAUUAAUUUUGAACUAAGAUUAAAUAGAAAAUGUAAAAUAAUUAACUAGAAUCUACUUUAAGUGAUGCAAUUAAUAAAUGAAAAUGGUAUCAAUGGUCUAUUAAUCUAGGAUUAUGGUGUCCUCUAUUACUUCAAUUAGAAUUGGCCUUGGUUAGUUAUUUAAUCUUAAUGGAAUUUGAUAUUAGUCUAGGAUCUUAAGUUAUGUGUAAUCCUCUAUCAAGGUAUUGCACACUUGCCUAAUCUAUUUGCCUCCUUAUAUGUUUAUAAGAAACAAAUAAUUUAAGCUCUUUAAGUUAAAGAAGUCCUUAAUAACUAAGUGUGGCAAUUAGUUGUGUUUCCACCCUAACUACACAUCAAAGCACCAACAUUCAUUUUUAAUGUUUUGAACACACUCUACUCAAGCCUAAGUCCAAUUUAGAUUAACUUUUUCAAGUUUCAUCCAAAUACUCAAACUCAAUUAAUUGGUGAUCAAUCAAUUAAAUGAACAAAAGAUUUCAACUUGAAUAAACAUCAAGAUUUGCAUUAAGAAUAAACAAUCAACCAACCAAUAUCCCAACUAAUUAAUAAAGUGAACCAUAAUCCUAGGUAAAUGGGUUUUGCUCAACAUUUCAAAUAAAUAGAGUACACGAUACAGCAGAAAGAGCAUAAUUUUACAAAAUGAGAGAGAGAGAAAGCUUCAAAUCUAGAGAGAGAGAGCAAAACAGUCUGUUGCAGCUUUAGAAUCUCCUCCCCUUUGAAUCUUCCUUAUUUUCCCGUUUUGUUGCAGCUCCUCUUGCCAAAAAUGUCUCCUCCCCAAUCUCCUCUUUUUCUGUGCCAAAGGAUCUAUUUAUAGUCCCCUCAUUCACCCUUUACCUAGGUUUUCGAGACAGAAUAUUCCCCUUUCUGAAGCUUUCUCGCUGUAGUGAGUUUGGAUUCUCGCUGCAGCAAGCUUAGCUGACCUGGCAUCUGCAAAGCUCGCAUUUCUCGCUGUAACGAGUUUGGAUUCUCGUUGCAACGAGAAUCUUUCUGCUUCCUUAUGUUCUGUUCUCGCUGCAACGAGAAACUCUCUGUCUGGACAAUUUGUUGCUGCAGCCUUGAGCCCUUUGCCACCAUGCUCUCCUCCUUUGAGCCACCAAAUGCAGGGUUGAUGAGGUCCAUUCUUCAGCUUUACUUUCUACCACCAUUCUUUCAAAAAAUCAAAACGAGAUUAAAAAUAGCAUAAAAGGGAUUUUUGACAAAACAGAUAGAGUUCAAAUUGACUAAAUGACACUAGACACAGUAAAAACUUGACUCCUACUAAAAAGUAUGAAAAUUUGCUAAGAACUAUGCUAAAAAUUAAAAGAAUAAGUAUAAUUCAUGCUCCCAAAAUUGUAUGAUAACUCUAUGUAAUCGACUUCAAGUCAUGAAAAGUGUUUCAUGCUACAAUCUGUGGGUCGAAGACAAGGAAACUUCCACCAUGUCCAAGCAGUUCCUAGUAGCUUAUUUUCUUCAUCCCGGCUGGUAAACAUCCUCCAUGCACUGAAAUUCCAACUGGGUAAAAAAGCAUUUUUAUUGAUUUUACUUGAGAGUUUCAAACUAGUUGAACGAAAGAAGAAAAAUCUAGCUAAGGUUCAAAGAGAAAAAGACACAAUCAAUCAACUUUGAUUGAAACGACAAGUACAAAAAAUACUUGUCCUUGUACUGUCCCGAAACAUUCUCUAAAGCACCCGACAAAGAUUUAUGUUUCAAACUAUAUUUUGAUGAGUUGUGUAAUCUACUAAGAGAAAACGUACAUAUGUCUACUCGCCGAUGAGUGACCGUUGACUCAGGAGAUGCAAGAGAUUUUUUGGCUCUGAUCUGGGAAAUCCAGCAAACGACAUCCGAAGCAAACUUCGUGAGUUAUGAAGAUCUAAACCUGGAAUUACAUGAUGCAAGUCAACAUUUCUGUAAACUCUAGAAGUAAAGAUGUUGCUUAAUUAUUAGCAAUAUUUUAAACAUAUUUCUUUAUCGAAUUACCAGUAGAAGUAAAAGAAAAAGAAGCAUGCUAGAUUUGGAAGGGACUUAGUGUGAAAAGGAGGAAUGAAAAUUUUGCUUUAGAAAAAGCACCUAGCCAAGAACUUUGCUUUGAAUGUCAAUAAAAUCCACUAAAUGAAUCUCAUGACCCAAACUUUUCACACAUCUUUAGAAGUAGUUAGAUUAUAAAUACAAAUGUGUAUCCAAUCUUGCUAUAUAGAAUGGAAAAACGUGUCGUUCACGUAUUAUUAGAAUGUGAUAACUAGUCAAUAAUUGUGUACUUUAAUGGAUCUCUACCUCACUCCCCUUUCCCACAUGUACCCCUAAAGAAUAACAUAACAUGAUCAUUGAGCUGGACCCCAAUGAUUGGCACACCCCCUUAGGAGUUUUGAACACCUGGUAGAUUAAAAGUAAAAUGAAAACAAAGAAAACAGUGCAUAUAGUGCAAAAGAUAUCAUGGAGCAGAUCUUGCGAAGCAAGUAACAGUUUAGCCACGGUAAGCAGGAUGAGAGCCUUUUUGUUGCGCUGACUUUUGUGUGAAUAGGGAUAGGGAGAGUUUUUGACUUCUGUGCAGAUCCUGUUAUGAGCUGGUUAGGGCGAUUUAGCACUGUUAAUCUCAACUGUGUCUAACAGGGCUAAAUCUUCCUUGUAGGCUCCUCAGAGGGGAACGUUUGCUUUCCUCUGUUUUAUUAAUACCCAUUGAAUAUUCAAAAAAAAAAAAGGUCUCACUUUGAAAUUCAUUCAGCUCUAAGUUGCUAGGUUUGGAAAAGAGCUACAUUCUGAGACCGGGUAACGAUAUGGCAGACAGCCUAGCCAAGGAUGGGGUGGGAAGAGUAGGUGAUCUGUUACGUAUUUAUCCUUAAUGAUGCUGCUUUAUAUGCUGUGAGCUGGCAGGUUCUUUUUUCUGCUCCUUUUGCUUUUAUCUCUAUGAUGUUGAGGAAUUUGAAGCUCCUGGUGAGUUUCCUUCCAUGUGUUCUGUAAAGGUGCUGUUUUUGCUCUUGUGAUCCUAGGCUAGAAAUCAGAUUUAUGCCAGUAAGGAAGGGAAACGGAAAGUCUGUUGUUUCCACUACUUACUGGUAUUCGACCUGAGAUAUUUGGAUUCUUGAUACUUUAUAGGAAAGCUUCUUUCGUAUAGAGCUCUUUGUAAUGGCCGUUUUUUGCAAGCCAGCUCGGCAUCUGACCAUAACACAAAGCCAGAGCCUUUUGUAAGUUCAGGGAUUCCCUGCUUGAUCAAUGAAACUACUCAUUACUUAUUCAAAAGACAAAAGUCUCACUUUGAAGUUUGAAAGCUUCUAACAAGCCUGUUGUAAGGUGGAGUCCGUGGCAGAUAGGCUGAGGACAAACUUUUUCCUGGUAAUUCUUUCAUUUUCCAACCCUUAGUUCAUAUUGCUACAUGCUUUCCAGCUUCAAAUUCAUUAAUUAUCUGUCCUCAGAUACCAAUGUCCCUGCUGGUUUUUGGCUUGUAUUCAAUCACACUUGCUGGACCAAAAACCUUUAUUUAUUAUUAUUAGUUUUUUUCCAUAGAGAAAUGGAGAGCUUGGUACAGAAGAAUCUUAGAAAGGAACUAAAACGAGGAAUGGAGCUAGCAAGGAAGCUCCAACUGCAUCUCAAAGCUUCAAAAGAAGCUCGUGAACUACACCGACAGAUUCUAUCUUCACAAGGAAAGGCACUUUCAAUGCUUAACCGCAGGACCUUCUCUAUGACCAAGCCACAUUCCAUAGCUCACAGCCCGUCUGCUCACAAUGGAAGUCCCCAUAGUGACGGCUUUGAUCUUGAUUUCCAGCAGCAAGAGUUCAAAGUCAAGGAUGCCUCCAUGAAAAGGUACACAAUAGACGUAUGGGAAAUUUAUGAUGUACAUAAAAUGGAAAACUAAACCAAUUGAUGCUUUACUGCAGUGAGACAGCCGAAUCAAAGUCAACAAUAGUUGCAUCGGAAGUGUCUAAAUCCCCAUCUUUUCUUUGUGGAAGCGUCCAGAGUAAGGACUCUGACUACGAUUUCAAGGACAGAGAACUCAAAGUCAAUGAGGUCUCCACCAAAAGGUAUACAUAAGGGCAUAUGAGCAAUUUAUAAUGAUACAAGGCCAACUAAUCCACAAAAGAGAAAAAGACUUUACAUUGAACAAAACAAUUUUCAUGUUGCAGGAAGACAAUGUCGAGCUGGACAGAAUUGGUCCCAUCGGAUACGGACCUAGGGCUAGGGGAACCCCUUCCUGAUGGUUACAAUUGGAGGAAACAUGGACAGACAGAUAUUGUUGGAGCAAGAUAUCCAAGGUAGGGAAACUUUCCUCUUUUAGUCCAUGUUAUUAUCAUUAUGAGCAUUGCUGACUGCAUGGUAGUGCAGUACCCUGAUGCCUAACCAAUGGCACGAUUUAAUUGAAUCUAUGUUCUUCUCGAUUUAAUAUAGAACAACUGGGCUUAGACAUUUGUGGAUAUUUGAUAAUAACUCCCAUUUGCACCCCAAAGACAUGUCAUGUAAUGAUUUUCUAGAUUCACCGAGCUAUAAACAUGAAAUAACCUCUCUUUUCUUUCUUACAGAACGUACUACAGGUGCGCACAUCUACUUACUGUAGGCUGUUUGGCUACAAAGCAAGUCCAAAGAGUAGAUGAAAAUCCAAUGAUCUUCAGUGUUACUUACUCUGGAAAGCACACUUGCAAUCUGGCCUCCGAUGUGAUGCCUCCAAGACCACCCCAAAUACUAGCUGUACAGAACCUACUCUUUUGUCAUUUUCCAUUUAGAUUAGGGUCUUUUUUAUAGACAGAUUAAAUUAAUUUGGAUACCGAUAUUCAAGUGAAAUAAGUAUUUUUCACCUAUAUUUGCAGCAUACGGAUACUGCAUGUGGCGUAGAUGGAAAUGACAAACAAGAUUCAAAAUCUAAUCUUCAGUCAAGUGUAUACAAUCCUCACGAUCAAACUUGCAUUUCAUCAACAGAGCUGAUGAGUGAGCUUCCAACUUUUGGCCUCAACCUGAAUGUGUUUCCCGAGGAAUCAUCUGAGUCAUAUCCAGUGUGGAAAGACUUUCAUGGAUAUCAAGUGAGAAAGAACUGGAAGUUGCUGAACAGGAAGAAGGAUGUGCUACUUCUACUUUCAUCUUAUCCUAUGAUUAUGAUUGACAAAUUUGACUCAGAGAAAUGGAUUACCGAUGUACUGGCAAUCAUGAGAGAUGCAAAAUCAACAGAAAAGAUGUUAUUUGGUGAAAAGGUAGCGGAAUAUUGGGACGUAAUAAUGAGGCUACAUGACCUUUCAGGAAGCUUGCAAAAGUUGCUGAAUGUUCCCUUGAUGAAUGAUAUCGAGGGAGUUUUACCAGGAGACAUAGUCGAGAACCUUUAUAGGCCUGCAGAUGCUGAUUCAAGACCCCUGUUGGAAGUGGAAAAAAUUAUAAUUAGUGGAAAGACAUCAAAAUCUAGAGGUUCACCAAGUCACAGUGAAGGGGCAGCAAUAGAAGCUGAAAAUGAAUUGCAGCCAAUGCCUGCAAGAUGUAAAAUUCAAAUAGAAGAGACUGAGUUGUCAGCCAAAGAAACUGUACCAGAAGAAAUAUUUGACUCUGCAGUUGAUUUAGCUGUUUGUCAGAUCUUAAAAUGUAUAAGCAGAGGAGAUAUCAGGUGCAUUACAAUCAGUGGAAGAGAUAAGAAAAGGGUGAUAGAAGCAAUAAAGCACCACCAAAAUAUAGGUUCCAAGUUUGGAUAUAUCAUUGAAUUUACUGUGGCUGAACAUCAAAUUGUGGCAAAGGUUCAUGGGGUCUUUCACUUACAGAAGGGUUUCUGUCUAGGUAAAUACUCUGAUUCUGUUGAAUAUUCUGACAACUUGUGCUCCCCAGGAAUCUUGUUGCUAAUGGAGGAUGAUUAUAAUAAGAACAUGAACCUCGAUCACUCUACACUCCCAUUUUCGAUAAACAUUAACAAGCUGCUUGACCAGAUACAUAGUGAUUCAAGGUUCAUAAUCUUUACUUCUAAAAUAGCAGCAGACAUGGAGAUCAGAAUGGAGGAUCAUUUGUUGUCGUGGAAAUUGUUUUUUAGGAUUGUGGGUGAAGGUUUCCUUUCUCCUAGUAUCCAACAGAUAGCAGCAUGUAUGGUGAAAGAGUGCCGUGGCAAUCUACUUGCCAUCAUUCUAAUGGCCAGGUCCUUGAAGAAAGUUACUGAUGAUGUCCAAUUGUGGGAACUUGCUGCUCAAAGAUUGACCAUGCUACCUCCAUCUCAGAUAGAAGAUAUAGAUAAUGUCCUGGUUAACACAUUAACAUUCAUUUGGGAACGUAUGAACAAUAAAACAAGACAUUGCAUUAAGCUUUUUACAAGGUAUCCCGAGGGACUGGCAAUCCACAGAAGCUCAGUAAUACAACGUUGGAUCUGGGAUUCUCUGGUUGAUACCUAUGAUGAAGGAACCCAUAUUCUCCAAAGUCUUGUUGAUGCAUUCUUGCUUAAUAUUGUGGAGUUAAAUUGUGUCCAACUGCGAAGAGAGAUCUAUGAUGUAUUAGUAAAGCUACUAAUUCCCCAAAUGCAUCCAUUAUAUCUUAUGCAAGGCGGGUUGAGAUUGAUUAAACCACCAAAAGAAGAGGAAUGGGAUGCCAAAGAGAUCCAUUUGAUGGAUAAUAAAUUAUAUGACCUACCAGAAUCUCCAAAGUGCCCCUCACUAUUUGCAUUGUACCUUCAGAAGAACUUGGAUCUGAUGGCUGUCCCUUCUUGUUUCUUCACGCACAUGCCUCUGCUUCAAAUCCUAGACUUAUCACAUACCAGUAUCAAAUCUUUGCCAGAGUCACUUUCUAGUUUGGUUAAACUUCGAGAACUCCUUUUGAAAGGCUGUGAACUCUUCAUACAACUCCCUAGCCAUGUUGGAAAACUGAAGAAUCUUGAGAAGCUGGACCUUGAUGAAACUCAGAUUAUAGAUCUCCCGGUAGAAAUAGGACAUCUUUCAAAAUUAAAAAUUUUGAGGGUCUCAUUCUACGGAUACGUGAACUGCAGCAAAACAUGGUCGCAGAGAGAUACUAUAAUUCACCCUGGAAUUAUAUCGGGUCUCUCUGAACUAAUUGAAUUAAGCAUUGAUGUUGAUCCAGAUGAUGAACGUUGGAAUGCAACUGUGAAAGCUGUUAUUGAGGAAGCUUGCAACCUGAAAACUUUAAGACAGCUUAAUUUGUACCUGCCAAGCAUUGAAAUUUUGUGGAAACGCAGAACAGGUAGCACAUCAUUGCUCCGUUACCCCUUGCCACGUUUCAGAUUUA